ACAGCGAACCAACUCGACCAGUGCGACAACGUCUUAAAUAAACAGAAUUUGAGAGCUGGAACGAGCUAGCAACGCCAACCCACACUUUUAAACCUCAACGUUGAUUGGCUGGAUACAACUCACACCACUUGCUACAUCACGUGUACAAAGAUCCCUCAACCGUUAGUAUAAAAGUGCGUGCACAACCCAAAUUUGUCAGUGGAUGACCUCUCAGUGAGUGGAUGAUCUUUCAGUGCAUGAUAUCUCAGUGGAUUCUCAGUGAACUUUAGGAAACUACUACGAGAAGACGAACAUUAUAUUAAAAACUGAUAGUUAUUAGAGGUUGAUUGUAACGAUUCACUACUUAAA
Paramuricea clavata is the source of this 348-nucleotide non-coding RNA. The record is from the annotation of a GenBank genome assembly. NCBI's taxonomy places the organism in Eukaryota, Metazoa, Cnidaria, Anthozoa, Malacalcyonacea, Plexauridae.